Molecule: ribosomal RNA, 253 nt
Filed under: uncultured bacterium
Lineage: Bacteria
Description: partial 16S ribosomal RNA
Rfam family: Bacterial small subunit ribosomal RNA
Source: RNAcentral
UACGUAGGGGGCAAGCGUUAUCCGGAUUUACUGGGUGUAAAGGGAGCGUAGACGGUUAUGCAAGUCAGAAGUGAAAGCCCAAAGCUCAACUUCGGGACUGCUUUUGAAACUGUGUAACUAGAGUGCAGGAGGGGUAAGCGGGAUUCCUAGUGUAGCGGUGAAAUGCGUAGAUAUUAGGAGGAACACCGGCGGCGAAGGCGGCUUACUGGACUGUAACUGACGUUGAGGCUCGAAAGCGUGGGGAGCAAACAGG